UCCGUAGGGGGCACGCGUUGUCCGGAAUCAUUGGGCGUAAAGAGCGUGUAGGCGGCCAGAUAAGUCCGCUGUGAAAUCUCGAGGCUCAACUUCGAGCUGUCGGUGGAAACUGUCUGGCUAGAGUCCGGAAGAGGAGAAUGGAAUUCCUGGUGUAGCGGUGAAAUGCGCAGAUAUCAGGAAGAACACCCGUGGCGAAGGCGGUUCUCUGGGACGGUACUGACGCUGAGACGCGAAAGCGUGGGGAGCGAACAGG
Molecule: ribosomal RNA, 253 nt
Filed under: uncultured bacterium
Lineage: Bacteria
Description: partial 16S ribosomal RNA
Rfam family: Bacterial small subunit ribosomal RNA
Source: RNAcentral